CAGUUAAGUAGUUUGUAUAAAGAAUAUAAGCUUUGGGUGCUUAAGGACCUGUU
This 53-nucleotide transfer RNA is filed under the name Schistosoma haematobium. RNAcentral's name for it is "tRNA-Pro". Lineage: Eukaryota; Metazoa; Platyhelminthes; Trematoda; Strigeidida; Schistosomatidae. The record is from RNAcentral.